Molecule: long non-coding RNA, 578 nt
Filed under: Glycine max (soybean)
Lineage: Eukaryota; Viridiplantae; Streptophyta; Magnoliopsida; Fabales; Fabaceae
Description: long non-coding RNA (GMAX_LNC003310)
Source: RNAcentral
CUAGGCAGAGAAUCUCUCAAAAUGGGAAAGCAAACAAAUUGCAUCUGCUCCAUCCAUUGUGUUCCCUUUUUGAAUUCCCCGAGAAUCUGAUCCAUCAAUUGUGUGUACCUCAUUCAUCAUGCAUAAAAAAAAAUAAAAAAAAUUCAAUCCAAUUCCACAUGCAACUCUCUCUCGCCGCAUACACUAAUCUAUCUGUCUCUUUCCCUUCCCUUCAGCUCUUAAAUUGAAUAAACAAGCACAAGUAGAAUCUACUAACUCUAGCAUGUUUUCCACCCACAAGUCAAAUAUCAACAAUAUUAGUGGCUCUUGAGUGCUUCAGCUGCACAAACUUUUGACUCUUUUUGAUUCUGCACUGAGGGGCGUUAAUUGAUUUAAGAAAAGUGAUACUACUGAACUCUUUUGAGUUUCAAGAGAUUGGUUCGUACAAAAACCAAAAACAAAUAAUUUGAACGUUUGGUGUUUGUUAAAUAAGGAAGUAAAGGAAACCAACAGACAACAGUACCAACUUAUUAGCAAAUGGAGAAAAAUAAACCAAUUGUUCAUAUGUACCUCACUUUGUGCUACUAACUGGAUCUUUU